UAAACAUGCAAGUCGAACGAUCUCUUCGGGAGAUAGUGGCGCACGGGUGCGUAACGCGUGGGAAUCUGCCCAAGGGUCCAGGAUAACAGUUAGAAAUGACUGCUAAUACUGGAUAAUGUCUUCGGACCAAAGAUUUAUUGCCCUUGGAUGAGCCCGCGUUGGAUUAGCUAGUUGGUGGGGUAAAGGCCUACCAAGGCGACGAUCCAUAGCUGGUCUGAGAGGAUGAUCAGCCACACUGGGACUGAGACACGGCCCAGACUCCUACGGGAGGCAGCCUGUGGGGAAUAUUGGACAAUGGGCGAAAGCCUGAUCCAGCAAUGCCGCGUGAGUGAUGAAGGCCUUAGGGUUUGUAAAGCUCUUUUACCAGGGA
RNAcentral lists this ribosomal RNA (370 nucleotides) under marine bacterium SIMO-IS119. RNAcentral's name for it is "bacterial SSU rRNA". It matches the Rfam family "Bacterial small subunit ribosomal RNA", at positions 50 to 445 of the family's 1533-position model. Lineage: Bacteria; Pseudomonadati; Pseudomonadota; Alphaproteobacteria. The record is from RNAcentral.